This 309-nucleotide long non-coding RNA is filed under the name Anser brachyrhynchus (Pink-footed goose). RNAcentral describes it as "lncRNA (ENSABRG00000016573.1)". Lineage: Eukaryota; Metazoa; Chordata; Aves; Anseriformes; Anatidae. The record is from RNAcentral.
GGUCAGAGGUUGGACUAGGUGAUCUUGGAGGUCUCUUCCAACCUAGACGAUUCUGUGAUUUCCCUUCUAAGCCAUGUAAACCAACACCAGACAGAAAACCUAAGAUCUUGCCUUUCUGACUUGAAACCUGCAGCUUCUUCUAUGCUUGGAACAUGACAAAGAAAUUGAUGGUGCCCUUUUUAUUACACUCUGUAUGUUCUGAUGAGCACAUGCUGUGUUUCUUCCCUCUGGCCCUGAAAUGUUAACAGAUUUCUACAUGAUAUGUGCUUUGACUCCAGGAGACUACCAUUGAUGCAGGAAAGCAAGAGA